CUAUAAUGCAGUCGAGCGAAUGGAUUGAGAGCUUGCUCUCAAGAAGUUAGCGGCGGACGGGUGAGUAACACGUGGGUAACCUGCCCAUAAGACUGGGAUAACUCCGGGAAACCGGGGCUAAUACCGGAUAAUAUUUUGAACUGCAUGGUUCGAAAUUGAAAGGCGGCUUCGGCUGUCACUUAUGGAUGGACCCGCGUCGCAUUAGCUAGUUGGUGAGGUAACGGCUCACCAAGGCAACGAUGCGUAGCCGACCUGAGAGGGUGAUCGGCCACACUGGGACUGAGACACGGCCCAGACUCCUACGGGAGGCAGCAGUAGGGAAUCUUCCGCAAUGGACGAAAGUCUGACGGAGCAACGCCGCGUGAGUGAUGAAGGCUUUCGGGUCGUAAAACUCUGUUGUUAGGGAAGAACAAGUGCUAGUUGAAUAAGCUGGCACCUUGACGGUACCUAACCAGAAAGCCACGGCUAACUACGUGCCAGCAGCCGCGGUAAUACGUAGGUGGCAAGCGUUAUCCGGAAUUAUUGGGCGUAAAGCGCGCGCAGGUGGUUUCUUAAUUCUGAUGUGAAAGCCCACGGCUC
Molecule: ribosomal RNA, 579 nt
Filed under: Bacillus thuringiensis
Lineage: Bacteria; Bacillati; Bacillota; Bacilli; Caryophanales; Bacillaceae
Description: bacterial SSU rRNA
Rfam family: Bacterial small subunit ribosomal RNA
Source: RNAcentral